AGUCUGGGUGAAGCAUACAACACCACUACCUCCUUGUGUGACUUUUCUCUCUCUUCAUCUGGUCUGGGCAAGCACCUAGGCUAUUCUUGGAGUAUCACAUUCAUAGUUGUAGAAUUCAGCAAUAUUAGACUAAUGCCUGUGUAAAGGUGUUUGAAAGUGGCAUAGCUUGAAGAGGAAGAUGCUCCGUUUACACUGUCCACUAGCAGUUUAUGCAAACUGGCUGCAUAUCUGCACAUCCUAAACCAUGAGGAUAAGGACCAAUCUUCAGAAUUGUUUAAAAGGUUUACAGCUGCUUUCAUUGAAAUAAAUGUACUGGAAACAACAGAAUCAGGAAUUGGUGCAAAGGCUAUAACAUUUGCAUAAAGAAACCAUUAUGAAGGUACCAGAGGGAACAUGGAAAUACAGAACAACAUAAAUGUUAGAAAAAAGCACCCAGAAAUUAAAAAUUUCUGAUGUCUUCAGAUUAAUAGAAAAGGGUUGGCAUCUUUCAUGGUGACAUUAAGCCAAAGUGUCUAUCAGGACACAGAAUUUCAAGGACUGCCCUCAUAAUCCGGUAAUGGAGCCAAAAUCUCUAUUGCACAAAUGCUUGACAAAUACUUAUUAUUUUCUGGAGAACUCAAAGCUGCACCUCAUCCUGAGCCCUUGGAAUAUUCCAGCAAAACUUUUCAAGUGGAUGCUGUAAAUACUGACCAAGAAGGCACCUGGCAUUUUUGUCUUUGUUCUUUCUAUUUCUCAGCAUUGCUGUCAGUGUCAGUAUUCCCAUUGGAAAGUCUGAGGCUGGAUCCUGGACAAGGCAGAAAGGUGAGCCAGAAAGGUGAAGAGCCUCUUCUCCUUUCCCUUGUGCACUCACCCAGAGACCACCUUUCAACAAGAAGGUAAAAUUUCAGCAUUCAAGGGAAAAAAAAUGCUGCCUGUAACUUACCCGGAGUAACAGCUAACUGUCUGCAAACAUGUGAAACAGAAUGAUAACAUCUUUUGAUCAGCACACCACAAAGCAUAAAAUACCUUGUACCCUCUGACUUAUUACCUUUGUUUUUUUUUUUUAAACGAGCAUUAUGUGAAAGAUCCUAUAGACUGGCAGCCCUUCAAAGAAAGUUCUCAGCACUGGAGUCGUAGCUCACCCCCUCAUUUCCCCUCCCAGGCCCUGACGCUAGUCAUCCCAGUGUACUGAUACAACUGCUCACAGGGAAGG
This is a long non-coding RNA of Pezoporus flaviventris, 1192 nucleotides long. RefSeq lists it as uncharacterized. Lineage: Eukaryota; Metazoa; Chordata; Aves; Psittaciformes; Psittacidae. The transcript has 4 exons. The record is from RefSeq and is a predicted model, not a curated record.